This 327-nucleotide ribosomal RNA is filed under the name Triticum aestivum (bread wheat). Its description in RNAcentral is "partial small subunit ribosomal RNA". The record is from RNAcentral. Lineage: Eukaryota; Viridiplantae; Streptophyta; Magnoliopsida; Poales; Poaceae.
AUGGCCGCCGGAUUCCCUCUCGCGGCGUGCAUCCUCGCCUUCCACCUCUCCCUUCUCCUCUCGCCGUCCUCCGCACUCCCCCGGCUCUCCGAAACGGAGAGCUCCGUAGUCCGCCAUGGCGUGGGCAUCAGGCCCGCCUACCACUUCCUGCCCGCCAAGAACUGGCAGAACGAUCCGAAUGAUUCCUGUCUUGGACCCGUAUUUUCUUUAGAUCAUCCUAAAUCAGCCCAUGCCCAUGAUUGCGAUAGGGCUGCUUUUGUGUCAUGUGUUCCUGUCCUGCCACUGCGUGUGUGCCUGUAUUGGACGUCACUUUGUGUUGCCAUGUAA